RNAcentral lists this ribosomal RNA (726 nucleotides) under Melnikia anthoxanthii. Its description in RNAcentral is "eukaryotic LSU rRNA". It matches the Rfam family "Eukaryotic large subunit ribosomal RNA", at positions 193 to 938 of the family's 3401-position model. Lineage: Eukaryota; Fungi; Ascomycota; Dothideomycetes; Pleosporales; Phaeosphaeriaceae. The record is from RNAcentral.
GAACAGGACGUCACAGAGGGUGAGAAUCCCGUACGUGGUCGCUAGCCUUCGCCGUGUAAAGCCCCUUCGACGAGUCGAGUUGUUUGGGAAUGCAGCUCUAAAUGGGAGGUAAAUUUCUUCUAAAGCUAAAUACUGGCCAGAGACCGAUAGCGCACAAGUAGAGUGAUCGAAAGAUGAAAAGCACUUUGGAAAGAGAGUCAAAUAGCACGUGAAAUUGUUGAAAGGGAAGCGCUUGCAGCCAGACUUGCCUGUAGUUGCUUAUCCGGACUUUUGUCCGGUGCACUCUUCUGCGGGCAGGCCAGCAUCAGUUUGGGCGGUUGGAUAAAGGUCUCUGUCAUGUACCUCCUUUCGGGGAGGCCUUAUAGGGGAGACGACAUGCAACCAGCCUGGACUGAGGUCCGCGCAUCUGCUAGGAUGCUGGCGUAAUGGCUGUAAGCGGCCCGUCUUGAAACACGGACCAAGGAGUCUAACAUCUAUGCGAGUGUUUGGGUGUCAAGCCCAGACGCGUAAUGAAAGUGAACGGAGGUGGGAACCUUUUAGGUGCACCAUCGACCGAUCCUGAUGUCUUCGGAAGGAUUUGAGUAAGAGCAUGGCUGUUGGGACCCGAAAGAUGGUGAACUAUGCUUGAAUAGGGUGAAGCCAGAGGAAACUCUGGUGGAGGCUCGCAGCGGUUCUGACGUGCAAAUCGAUCGUCAAAUUUGGGCAUAGGGGCGAAAGACUAAUCGA